Molecule: long non-coding RNA, 3844 nt
Organism: Harpia harpyja (harpy eagle)
Lineage: Eukaryota; Metazoa; Chordata; Aves; Accipitriformes; Accipitridae
Exons: 4
Source: RefSeq, a predicted model, not a curated record
AGUAACUACUUUAAUUUUAUUCUUGUUUCCUAUCUGAAAAUCUGGUAGAUUGGCUCCUGUUCUGGAAUAGUGAUCUGUAGCUAGCUUUCUUCUUCCCUUUCUACACCUCCCCACACCCCCAUGUGUGGAAGGAAAAUGAGGAAGGUCUUUGAACAUCUCUCUUGAUUUGCCCUAGAUACCAGUAGCUAAGAUUGGCCAGAGGUCUAAUUUUGGAUUGCUCUGUUGAACAGAUUGAGAUUAGCUAUUUAACAUACUGGUGAAUUUUCCUCAAGGAACAUACUCUGCAUCAAGAAACCCCUAACCUGCAUGGCCCAGCUGCCACGCGAAAGUGCUUAGGUUUGCAAAAAGAUGCUGUUAAUAAUAGUUAACACAGUUGUUGAAAGUGUAAUCACACCAAAGUUCAAAAUUUUAUUUCAAAAGCAGCUUAUGUUCGGGAAGGAUGGGUUGGACCUUCAGCUGUUGCAAGGUGGCACAGUCCCUCAGACAUGAGUAAGAUGACACUCAUUUACAUCCACUGAGGAUCUAAGCCUUCGAGGGAGGAUGGCAGAAAGUACAGCUGUAGUGGCUGGAAAGGCUAAAUCCCAUGCCAAUGAGGUGAAGGGGACUGUGCUGCAUGGACUACAGAUCUCAGAGAGAGAAGGUAAUUGAAAAACAAUUGAAAUUGUGUUUUGCUAGUCCCUGGAUGGAAGGAAUGGUCUGAUCCCUUGAAGAGAUUUAGAGGUUUUGGAAUUUCUCAGAUUUGUACCUGGUUAGUUGUGCUCUUGUAAACAUUUCAGCAGCUGCACAUGAACAAAAUGCAAUAACCCACUGACCAUUUCUCUUUUUCCCCAAGAUAUGCCCUUUCUGCCUAGAGCUGCAAAGAGGGUAGUAUCACAGUUACUGCCUUGAAAGCAUGCUCCAUCACUGUGGUCUGCUAUCUUUGCUGAGAAUUAUCUGCAGGAUGCAAGUCGUACUUCUGCUUCCUCUCUCCGAGAAGGUUAAAUGUGAGAUGCAGUGACUGAUGACCUCUAACAUGAAAUCACAUAACCGGCAUCUUUAGGUUUUACAUACUGCUUUACAACACAGUCUGCAAAGCUUAGAGUAAUGCAUUUCCCAAGUCAUAGCUGAUGUUUUUAAUUAGUAACUUUUUCUUUGCAUCCACAUUUUAAAGACUCUCAUGGAACACAGCAAUUUAAAUGCAACAGUUCUCGACAUUGCAACCUGUGACUCCAUAAUUUUCAAGACUGACAAGCUUUUCCAUGAACCAUAAGCUGCGUAGGCUGAGGAUUUACCAUAGGGCAGAGGCUUUCCAUGGCCAAGGCUGCGGGCCUUGAUGCCUUCUCAUUACCCCUAACUUGGAGAGUAUGAGAGUUCACCACAGACUCCUGCCUGUCUGCUUAGGCGUCGUUAAAAGGACACGAGGAAAUGGUCGCAUCCUGACUUGCAGAUCUCCCGCUCCCCCCUAUGCCUGCAGUGUGGAUUCAACCAGAGAUAUCAACUUGUCAAGAACGUGUUCAGAGCCUCUUUCUGGGAUGAGGAGGGCUUUGCAAGUAGUUGUGACUGGAUCAUUAGGCUGGUAAAAGAACUGGAGUCUGACUGAGGAUGGAGCCCUGAAAAGCUAUUUUGAAGAGCUCUGGCAUACACACUUGGCAGAAAAACUCUUCACAGUCCUGGAGAUGCCUAGAUGCCGGGUCAGCGGGGUCCCUUCUGCGCUUCUCAGGUAAGGGACCAAGCAUGGAAGAUUUCCUCAUCUUCCUCAAGGACUGAAGAACAGAAAAGCUGCAGCAGAACUGUCUCUCUGUUUCUUUCUUCUCUGCGCAUUGACAAAUUGAAGUGAGGAAUGGGAGAACUUACUCAAUUAAAGCAACAAGAGAGUUUCUCCUUUUCUUCAUGUCUGGUCAACCUGUCAAAACCUAACACCAACACUCCUGCCUGCCUUGACAGAAGACUGCAUGCCAGGUUACCUUUGCCUGGCGUGUUUCCCUGUCACAUCAUGAUUGUUUUUCAAAAUUAAGGAGACAAAACCAAGACUUGAUAGAGCUUGUAACCAGAUUAACAGAGCCAAAUGCCUCUUCCAUUACUCCUCCCACCCUGGCAUGAGAGGUGCACUCCAGUCCUCCUCAAACAGCUGCCUCAAUAGAACAUUUAGAGUCACCUUUCACCAUAAUUAACAAUUAUUACUCCUGUAACCAACAGUUCAGAAUUGCAAGCUUCUCCCAGAGUUGUAAUAUGUAGACAAGCAUUGCUCCCUUCAGUACUUAUGAGAUGUAGGGAAACAGGCUCAGCCUCAUACUGAAUAAGGGCAGCAUUCAGAAAUGCCAGGGGAAAAGCAGAAUCAGCUUAUCUUAGUGGGUGUUAUGGGAGGUAGUAUUCACAGCAACUUUUUCUUUUCCAAGCAGAAAAAAGAAAUUCAGAAUUCCAAACUGAAAAAAAAAAAAAGUUUCUGAAAAAGUAAAAAAGGGGACCUUUAAUUUUAUGCUGUCAUGUAAAAUAGUUGAUUAUACUUUUGUCUUCACUGUCUGGCCUUCAUUGCCCUUGCUUCUUUUCCCUGCUUGCUUUUUUUUCUUGUGAAAAUAUUUUCACAAUUUAUUUAAAUACGUUCAUUUAUUAAAAAAAAAAUCACAUUUCAUUUCCACAGAUGUAAAUGCUCUUACAUUUUCAUUAAGCCCUGUGAAUCUACUUGAAAUGUGUAAACAGGAAGAAGAUGAGAUCUCAAGAGACCCCAGGGGCUGAAAAGGUGAAAUUCAGAUGUGGAGGUUUUCAGUCAGGAACACUGAAGACCUGCUUUUUCAAGGGAAUAUGUAAUAGCCAUUCAUAUAUUCAAAGCACAGCUUCCAGAGGAUUUAAUAUCAUUUGGGAAUUUUUCCACGUCUUAAAUUCAGAAAUGUCUUCAGCUCAAUACUCAGCCAAUAAGGAUGGCAAUUAGUGACCACAUGAGGUAAGUUUGAUUUACGCAUCUUUGACUCCUUGCCGUUCCUCUGGUAGAGGCCAAAGCAGAAUAUAAUUUUUCAAAGAAUCUAUAAAAUUAUGUGAUGUUUUUCUCUUCGUGCACUCCUCUACAUCAUUAUUUUCAUAACUUCGAGAUUCCUACGGUCAAGUCUUCUUCAUUCUAUAACUCUGACUUCGGUCCAGCAUUGUUCCAGCCCUCAAUGGAAAAAAAAAAUCCCUGCUUAUCCUAAGGCUGGCUUAUUAUCAAUAGAUGGGGAAAUUCUUGACAAUAUGACAAACUAACAACGUGCAAACUUCUUUCUGUUUUUCCCGUAAGGACUAUAAAAGGCACAUAUGAGACAUUUUUUUGUUUGCUUGCCUCAAAGAGGGCCACUCAGCUCUAUAGAGAAGGUAGUUUUUAACAGGGGUUUUCCCCUCUAAUUCUCGAAAAUAGCAGAAAAUUUUCAGGAAAGUUUAGUCUGAGGGGAUAUAAAAUAUAAAAAUUAUCAUCCCCAAAAUGUAAACCUUGGUAAAAAUGAAAGGCAACUUGUAAAUUGCAAUUUGAAGUAUCAGCAGUCUUGACACUUAAGCCAUGGUGUAAAACCACUUCAGCAUACUGGAUGUACUAUUUACAAGGAAGAUGGUGAUAGCUGUAUCCUGACUAACAUGGAAUGAAAGAACUCUUUACUGUUAAGAGGUAAUUAUCUAAGUGUAUUAACAAGUGCUUGUUUUGUUUUAUUAAAAAAUUGAACUGUGUUCAAGAUAAGAUAAACUGGAAAAGUCUAAGUAGGCUUUAGCAAUUGUACAACAGAGAAAGGAGUUGAAAGAAGUUGACAAAGCCUAAAACAGAGAAUAAAGUUUCUGAACACGUAUCUUUCAGUUGUGUUGUCAAAUUGCUGUGUUUUCAUGGUUAUAACCCAUAUUUUAAAAAACAAAC